UUUCCAGAGAUGGAUUGGUGCCUUCGGGAACUCUGAGACAGGUGCUGCAUGGCUGUCGUCAGCUCGUGUUGUGAAAUGUUGGGUUAAGUCCCGCAACCGAGCGCAACCCUUAUCCUUUGUUGCCAGCGGUCCGGCCGGGAACUCAAAGGAGACUGCCAGUGAUAAACUGGAGGAAGGUGGGGAUGACGUCAAGUCAUCAUGGCCCUUACGAGUGGGGCUACACACGUGCUACAAUGGCGCAUACAAAGAGAAGCGACCUCGCGAGAGCAAGCGGACCUCAUAAAGUGCGUCGUAGUCCGGAUUGGAGUCUGCAACUCGACUCCAUGAAGUCGGAAUCGCUAGUAAUCGUGGAUCAGAAUGCCACGGUGAAUACGUUCCCGGGCCUUGUACACACCGCCCGUCACACCAUGGGAGUGGGUUGCAAAAGAAGUAGGUAGCUUAACCUUCGGGAGGGCGCUUACCACUUUGUGAUUCAUGACUGGGGUGAAGUCGUAACAAGGUAGGCGUAGUGCU
RNAcentral lists this ribosomal RNA (513 nucleotides) under uncultured bacterium. RNAcentral's name for it is "bacterial SSU rRNA". It matches the Rfam family "Bacterial small subunit ribosomal RNA", at positions 997 to 1509 of the family's 1533-position model. The record is from RNAcentral.